This 253-nucleotide ribosomal RNA is filed under the name uncultured bacterium. Its description in RNAcentral is "partial 16S ribosomal RNA". It matches the Rfam family "Bacterial small subunit ribosomal RNA", at positions 524 to 776 of the family's 1533-position model. The record is from RNAcentral.
UACGAAGGGUGCUAGCGUUGUUCGGAUUUACUGGGCGUAAAGCGCACGUAGGCGGCUUCUUAAGUCAGGGGUGAAAUCCCGAGGCUCAACCUCGGAACUGCCUUUGAUACUGGGGAUCUCGAGUUCGGGAGAGGUGAGUGGAAUUGCGAGUGUAGAGGUGAAAUUCGUAGAUAUUCGCAAGAACACCAGUGGCGAAGGCGGCUUCCUGGACAGAUACUGACGCUGAGGUGCGAAAGCGUGGGGAGCAAAAAGG